UUCCUACACUUGGCAGUUCGAGCGGUAGAGAGGUGCUUGCAUCUCUUGAGAGCGGCGGACCGGUGAUUAAUGCCUAGGAAUCUGCCUAGUGGUGGGGGAUAACGUUCGGAAACGGACGCUAAUACCGCAUACGUCCUACGGGAGAAAGCGGGGGAUCUUCGGACCUCGCGCCAUUAGAUGACCCUAGGUCGGAUUAGCUAGUUGGUGAGGUAAUGGCUCACCAAGGCGACGAUCCGUAACUGGUCUGAGAGGAUGAUCAUUCACACUGGAACUGAGACUGGUCCAGACUACUACGGGAGGCAACAGUGGGGAAUAUUGGACAUUGGGUUAAAGCUUGAUCCAUCAUUGUCCGCGUGUGUGAAGAAGGUCUUCGGACUGUAAAGUAAUUUAUUUUUAGGAG
Molecule: ribosomal RNA, 400 nt
Filed under: Pseudomonas sp. W2-12
Lineage: Bacteria; Pseudomonadati; Pseudomonadota; Gammaproteobacteria; Pseudomonadales; Pseudomonadaceae
Description: bacterial SSU rRNA
Rfam family: Bacterial small subunit ribosomal RNA
Source: RNAcentral